CUGUGUCUGAUCUCUGUCAGUCUGUCCAAAAUCGAUCUCUUUUAUGUUUCAGUUCCAAUUCUGAUCUUCGAAGCUCAAACAAAACAAUGGCGAAAGGAAGAUACUCUCGCCUUCCAGCUCGAAAAUCAUCGUCGUCGACGAUCAUUCUGACUAUGCUCAUCAUGGUCACAUUCGGUAUUCUCAUACUUCUUGCCCUCGGAAUUCUCUCUGUCCCUAGCAAUUCCGGUGAUUCCUCUCGCAAAGCCAACGAUCUCAGCACCAUCGUCCGUAAUAAAGUGGACAGUGAGGGAGAUGAUGAGCCCUCGGCGGAGGUGAUCUCGUGGGAGCCUCGGGCUUUUAUCUAUCAUAAUUUUUUGGUCAGUUUUACUUUUUUUUUUUUUCCCUUUGUAUUUUCUACUUAAUUUAUGACUUGGGAUUAGCGCUUUUAGUUGAGCUUUUGAAUUCUUCUAUGUCUUGGGAUUGACAAAGCAUGCCAUGGUCAAUGCGAUUCAAUGGGAUUUCUUAUUUAGUUCACAUCAAUCAGACGGAUUUUUUUUCCCCUUCUUAUGAUUUAAUCUGCAGCUCAAUGGGCAAUCGAGAAAUUCGUCUAUUUCUUGUACUGAAAUGUCUAAACCACGAAGGUAUUUGAAAAUUAUUGGUUUCUUUUGAUUUACCUGUUUCUCUCACAGUAUAAGCUUUUUAUAAUCUCCCAAGUUUGUUUUUCGGGUUGAAAUGUUGUUGAUUAGCAUCUUUGAUCUAAGUUUAAAUAAUUUCUUAACAAAGUGAUGCCACUAAAAUUUGGUUGAUUAUUUUGGGCAGAGCAAAGAGGAAUGUGAUUACCUGAUCAAUCUUGCCAACCCUCAUAUGCAAAAGUCUACAGUUGUUGACAGUGAAUCUGGAAAGAGUAAAGAUAGCAGAGUGCGAACAAGCUCUGGCACAUUCCUUCCAAGAGGUCGUGAUAAAAAGAUCAGGGAAAUUGAGAAAAGGAUUGCUGAUUUCACCUUCAUGCCUGUAGGUAUGCAGUUUAAGAUCCAUUUCUCUGAUUUUUUUAACUGCAGACAGUUGUUUUCCCAAUAAAAUUUCCUUCCGUUUUUCUGUACUUCCUCUCUCCUACCUACUCCCACUCUUUUUUCUUUUUGGCGCUUAUAAGGUUGUUUGUUUAUGCCUUGCAUCAAUGGCACUUUUUGGAUGGUAAGAGAUUUAGGAAUUGUUGAAGUGCAUAAGUGCAAUCUUGUAAACUGACAAAAGUGACAAGGUGAAUGUGACCUUGUAGAAAUGAGGUAGUUAUAUGUGCUGCUAAUUGUAACAUUAUUUGCUCAUCUUUGGAGCAGUUGGGAGAAAAAGUCAGAUUUUUCAGUAUCCACAAUAAGAGCAAUGCAUCACUGCUCUCUCCCACCUUUUUAUUUGGUGCCUCAGUCAUCAAAAUAAAGUCGAAAUGAAAUGUAUCACACUGCAAAUGGAGUUAAGCAGAGUUGAUUAGUUUCAAUCCAAGUUCUGGGAUAUACUGUAGAUGACUUCAUCUUAACACAUGUUUAAGAAUAAAAGCAGACAUUAUAGAAGUUUAGACAUUAGGGGUCUGUUCAAAGGCUGCAUUUUCUUGUACUUUGUGUUUUUCAUUCUGAUUUGUGUGAAUUUUGAUGUUUCUUGUCAUGUGGCUAUACAAGUCCAUGGGCUUACUUGUGCCGAUGCAAUGUACAGAACAUGGGGAAGGACUCCUAGUUCUCCACUAUGAAGUUGGGCAAAAAUAUGAGCCUCAUUUUGACUACUUUUUGGACGAGUUCAAUACAAAGAAUGGGGGUCAACGCAUAGCAACUGUUCUUAUGUACCUGUAAGUGGGAGUGUUUUCUUUUCCAAUUUAUUUUAUUAUAUAAUUCCUCUUUUGUUCUUUCUGUACUAUUUUCUUUUUCACUAUUACAUGCAGCUCAGAUGUUGAAGAAGGGGGUGAGACAGUGUUUCCUGCAGCUAAGGGAAACAUUAGCUCUGUGCCAUGGUGGAAUGAGUUGUCUGAAUGUGGCAAACAGGGCCUUUCAGUGAAACCGAAAAUGGGUAAUGCAUUGCUGUUUUGGAGCACAAGUCCUGAUGCUACGGUAGAUCCUUCAAGUUUGCAUGGUUAGCAAUCACUCAUUAACAAACAGUUGACAGCUUAAACUAAGAUUCAAUAAUGAUUCUGCAGUUUUUCAAUGUUUCAGAAGAAAUGUCAGUCCUAGAUUAUGUUCUUAUGGCAGGACCAAAAAUUAUUUGCAAGUAAAAGAUUGUAGGACCAAAACGCUCUCUAACUUGGUAGCUCUUCUAAUAAUCCAGUUGCCUUAAAUUCGUUUUCUGCCUUGUCUUAGGUAGUUGUCCUGUGAUUAGAGGGAACAAAUGGUCAGCAACAAAGUGGAUGCAUCUUGGAGAAUACAAGGUCUGAUCCAUUAUUAGUAGAGGUAAUUCUCAGUGCCUGAAGGAGUAAUUCAUGGUAGAUGAAGUCAUUGUUUGUUAUAUUUUUUUUAUUUAAUAUUUGCUGUCUUAAUUUAGUUUAUUUUAAAUAAACACAAACUUCUCUUAGGUUGUUAGAAUUGGCAUUAGCAACCUGGCAGAAGAAUGCAUGUUUAGGGUGUUGAUGAAAUUUGAUGUGUUGCAGAGUGUUGAAUUUUUUAAUUAUUUUUAUAGAGGGUGUUGCAUUACAUGAAAAUUAAAAUGGUGGCAGUUAUUGGAAGUAAGAAUGCUAGUGCUAGUUGAACUAGUUAUUGUUAUCAUUAUUAUGUUUUUAAUCUUUUGCCUUCAGCAGGAUAGGAGGACAUGUAUCAUGUGGAUCAUUUGUGGUGAAUGGUGUUAAAAUUCCAGAUACAAGAGUCAAGAAUGGUGCAUCCCUGAUCCCUCAAACGUAGCAUAGAAAAAUAUUAUUACUUAGGCUUGAUGAUUUUAUUUUAUUUUUUGUAUUCCUCAUUUAAUGGGCCCUUUUUGGUCUUCUAACCGGGGAUUUAGGUUGGAAGUUGACCUUGAUUGGUCCUAAAAGAUAAGUUUUUGUACUUACAAAUUUAGUAGGGGAUAACAAAGGGAUAGCUGCAGCGGGCAAUGCAUCACUCCCAAUAGGCAAAUUGUAAACAAACAGAAUAAUUGCUGGAAUACAAGUCAUCUGAUUUUUCUUCAGUUUGGUUGCCUGCUUAUUUUUCAGUUGUUGGAACCUGGUUGCCUCUCCCAUUUCCGUUCUUGGGAAACAAUAGGUCCUAGACCACGUUUUGGUAUAUGUUUUGGGAAUAA
RNAcentral lists this unclassified non-coding RNA (3219 nucleotides) under Hevea brasiliensis (rubber tree). The record is from RNAcentral. Lineage: Eukaryota; Viridiplantae; Streptophyta; Magnoliopsida; Malpighiales; Euphorbiaceae.